AAUUCUGUAAAGGAAGAAGAGG
This 22-nucleotide microRNA is filed under the name Homo sapiens (human). RNAcentral describes it as "hsa-miR-4778-5p". Lineage: Eukaryota; Metazoa; Chordata; Mammalia; Primates; Hominidae. The record is from miRBase by way of RNAcentral.